Molecule: ribosomal RNA, 497 nt
Filed under: uncultured bacterium
Lineage: Bacteria
Description: partial 16S ribosomal RNA
Rfam family: Bacterial small subunit ribosomal RNA
Source: RNAcentral
GAUGAACGCUGGCGGCGUGCCUAAUACAUGCAAGUCGAGCGAACAGACGAGGCUCUUGCUCCUCUGACGUUAGCGGCGGACGGGUGAGUAACACGUGGAUAACCUACCUAUAAUACUGGGAUAACUUCGGGAAACCGGAGCUAAUACCGGAUAAUAUAUUGAACCGCAUGGUUCAAUAGUGAAAGACGGUUUUGCUGUCACUUAUAGAUGGAUCCGCGCCGCAUUAGCUAGUUGGUAAGGUAACGGCUUACCAAGGCAACGAGGCGUAGCCGACCUGAGAGGGUGAUCGGCCACACUGGAACUGAGACACGGUCCAGACUCCUAAGGGAGGCAGCAGUAGGGAAUCUUCCGCAAUGGGCGAAAGCCUGACGGAGCAACGCCGCGUGAGUGAUGAAGGUCUUCGGAUCGUAAAACUCUGUUAUUAGGGAAGAACAAAUGUGUAAGUAACUAUGCACGUCUUGACGGUACCUAAUCAGAAAGCCACGGCUAACUACGUG